This 801-nucleotide ribosomal RNA is filed under the name uncultured bacterium. RNAcentral's name for it is "bacterial SSU rRNA". It matches the Rfam family "Bacterial small subunit ribosomal RNA", at positions 8 to 796 of the family's 1533-position model. The record is from RNAcentral.
AGAGUUUGAUCAUGGCUCAGAUUGAACGCUGGCGGCAUGCCUAACACAUGCAAGUCGAGCGGCAGCAUGAUGUGUAGCAAUACACAUUGAUGGCGAGCGGCGGACGGGUGAGUAAUGCAUGGGGAUCUGCCCAGUAGCGGGGGACAACCCGGAGAAAUCCGGGCUAAUACCGCAUACGCCCUACGGGGGAAAGUGGAGGACCGAAAGGCUUCACACUAUUGGAGGAACCCAUGCCCGAUUAGCUAGUUGGUGAGGUAACGGCUCACCAAGGCGACGAUCGGUAGCUGGUCUGAGAGGACGAUCAGCCACACCGGAACUGAGACACGGUCCGGACUCCUACGGGAGGCAGCAGUGGGGAAUAUUGGACAAUGGGGGAAACCCUGAUCCAGCAAUGCCGCGUGGGUGAAGAAGGCCUGCGGGUUGUAAAGCCCUUUCGGUGAAGACAAAACGCGACGUGCUAAUACCACGUUGUUUUGAUUUAACUCACUAAAGAAGCACCGGCUAACUCUGUGCCAGCAGCCGCGGUAAUACAGAGGGUGCAAGCGUUAAUCGGAAUUACUGGGCGUAAAGCGCACGUAGGUGGCUUGAUAAGUUGGGUGUGAAAUCCCCGGGCUUAACCUGGGAAUUGCAUUCAAGACUGUCUUGCUAGAGUGUGGAAGAGGGAAGCGGAAUUCCAGGUGUAGCGGUGAAAUGCGUAGAUAUCUGGAGGAACAUCAGUGGCGAAGGCGGCUUCCUGGUCCAACACUGACACUGAGGUGCGAAAGCGUGGGGAGCAAACAGGAUUAGAUACCCUAGUAGUCC